GGGCAGAGCGCGUGUGGCGGCCGAGCACAUGGGCCCGCGGGCCGGGCGGGCUCGGGGCGGCCGGGACGAGGAGGGGCGACGACGAGCUGCGAGCAAAGAUGUGCCCCGGGACCCCCGGCACCUUCCAGUGGAUUUCCUUGCGGAAAGGAUGUUGGCGGUCCCUGUGACCUGUGGAGACACGGCCAGAUCUGCCCUCCAGCCUGAUCUUUUGGCCAGAAGGAGAUUAAAAAGAUGCCCCUCAAGAUGGCUGUGCCUGUCAGCUGCAUGGAGCUUCGUUCAAGUAUUUUCUGAGCCUGAUGGAUUUACAGUGAUCUUCAGUGGUCUGGGGAAUAACGCUGGUGGAACCAUGCACUGGAAUGACACACGCCCGGCACAUUUCAGGAUACUAAAAGUGGUUUUAAGGGAGGCUGUGGCUGAAUGCCUCAUGGAUUCUUACAGCUUGGAUGUCCAUGGGGGACGAAGGACUGCAGCUGGCUGAGAGGGUUGAGAUCUCUGUUUACUUAGAUCUCUGCCAACUUCCUUUGGGUCUCCCUAUGGAAUGUAAGACCCCGACUCUUCCUGGUGAAGCAUCUGAUGCACGUUCCAUCCGGCGCUCAGCUGGGCUUGAGCUGACCAUACUCCCUGGAGCCUUCUCCCGAGGUGCGCGGGUGACCUUGGCACAUACAGCCAUCAUGAUGGUACUUUAAGUGGAGGCUGAAUCAUCUCCCCUUUGAGCUGCUUGGCACGUGGCUCCCUUGGUGUUCCCCUUUUACUGCCAGGACACUGAGAUUUGGAGAGACCCCGGCCUUUCCAGGAUGCCUUUUGGAGCCCCUGCUGGCCACCACAUAUCAUGUUCUGAAGUUCUACAGCCCUCUGAGUUGGACACUGACCAUCUGGGGGCUCGAGUCAUCCUCAGAUUGAAUCCUGUUACACCUGGGAUUUAGGCACUUUCAAUCUGAAAAAAUACAUAUCCUUUCAGCACUCUGGACGGACUUGAGAACUGUCCUUACGUGACCUAAAGCUGGAGUAUUUUGAGAUUGGAGAAUUAAGAGUGUGGGCACCCUGGCUUCAAGCUCACGAGAAACCAGGUCGGGAUUUAAACAAUGUUGGGUUAAAGCAAAGUUUCAUAAAGACAGAAUCAAGAAAAAAAGAAAGAGAAA
RNAcentral lists this long non-coding RNA (1139 nucleotides) under Homo sapiens (human). RNAcentral's name for it is "Pvt1 oncogene". The stretch from base 21 to 198 matches the Rfam family "Pvt1 oncogene conserved region 1". Lineage: Eukaryota; Metazoa; Chordata; Mammalia; Primates; Hominidae. The record is from RNAcentral.